RNAcentral lists this long non-coding RNA (714 nucleotides) under Fukomys damarensis (Damara mole-rat). Its description in RNAcentral is "lncRNA (ENSFDAG00000027499.1)". The record is from RNAcentral. Lineage: Eukaryota; Metazoa; Chordata; Mammalia; Rodentia; Bathyergidae.
GUAAAUCAUGUGUAAUUGCUUGUAAAUUGGGAAACAAAUAGUAUUUUUGCUUAAAUUACUCUCUUUGCAACGUUUCUUAGGGAAUUAAGGUUGUAUGGAGGACCUUUCACCUCCGUGGGACUGAAAUUCGCUUUGGGACCCAAUCCAAACUGCCUUGGAGUCUCUCUCGGAGCCACAUUCCAGCAGAUCAGGGGGCCUUUGGUUCCAAUGGAGAAGAAAUUGACUGAAGUUGUCAUAAAUACCUCCUCUAGGUGGGACACUUCCACAGAGAGGCCAGCACCAUCCCAUUCCUCUUUAGAGAUCACAUGGAAUACAAGUUCAAAGCAGGGCUCAAGUGUGCAUUCCACCUCUUCCCAGCCGUGCGACUUUGGGUGAGUUCCCAAGCCUCUCUGGGCUGUAGAUGUUCAAAGGGGGCGAGUUGUGAUGUGCAGCUUAGAGAGCUGUAGUGCAGACUCAAUGAGGUAAUGGCAACACGAGCUCCACACAGUGCCUGCUAUACAGAAAGCAUCCCUCCACACCAUGGCUGUUCAGGUAACUCCCAGGUCUCCUCCUGGGUACGCAGGGAGCCAUCAGGAAGCUUGACGAGUGUGACUUGCAAGUCCCACCCGGUGUCCUGAAUGUCUUGGUCUCAGGAGGCUGAGCACACUUGGGGGUGGGGUGAUCUAUUUCCAGAGCUGUUUGCCCUGUUGCUGGCCUUCCGCACACCUCCCCGAG